GAAGAAAAGGCUGUUGCUAAUAUCAGCGGCUGAUGACGGUACCUGAAGAAUAAGCACCGGCUAACUACGUGCCAGCAGCCGCGGUAAUACGUAGGGUGCGAGCGUUAAUCGGAAUUACUGGGCGUAAAGCGGGCGCAGACGGUUACUUAAGCAGGAUGUGAAAUCCCCGGGCUCAACCUGGGAACUGCGUUCUGAACUGGGUGACUAGAGUGUGUCAGAGGGAGGUAGAAUUCCACGUGUAGCAGUGAAAUGCGUAGAGAUGUGGAGGAAUACCGAUGGCGAAGGCAGCCUCCUGGGAUAACACUGACGUUCAUGCCCGAAAGCGUGGGUAGCAAACAGGAUUAGAUACCCUGGUAGUCCACGCCCUAAACGAUGUCAAUUAGCUGUUGGGCAACUUGAUUGCUUAGUAGCGUAGCUAACGCGUGAAAUUGACCGCCUGGGGAGUACGGUCGCAAGAUUAAAACUCAAAGGAAUUGACGGGGACCCGCACAAGCGGUGGAUGAUGUGGAUUAAUUCGAUGCAACGCGAAGAACCUUACCUGGUCUUGACAUGUACGGAAUCCUCCAGAGACGGAGGAGUGCCUUCGGGAGCCGUAACACAGGUGCUGCAUGGCUGUCGUCAGCUCGUGUCGUGAGAUGUUGGGUUAAGUCCCGCAACGAGCGCAACCCUUGUCAUUAGUUGCCAUCAUUCAGUUGGGCACUCUAAUGAGACUGCCGGUGACAAGCCGGAGGAAGUGGGGAUGACGUCAAGUCCUCAUGGCCCUUAUGACCAGGGCUUCACACGUCAUACAAUGGUCGGUACAGAGGGUAGCCAAGCCGCGAGGCGGAGCCAAUCUCACAAAACCGAUCGUAGUCCGGAUUGCACUCUGCAACUCGAGUGCAUGAAGUCGGAAUCGCUAGUAAUCGCAGGUCAGCAUACUGCGGUGAAUACGUUCCCGGGUCUUGUACACACCGCCCGUCACACCAUGGGAGUGGGGGAUACCAGAAGUAGGUAGGGUAACCGCAAGGAGUCCGCUUACCACGGUAUGCUUCAUGACUGGGGUGAAGUCGUAACAAGGUAGCCGUAGGGGAACCUGCGGCUGGAUCACC
This 1088-nucleotide ribosomal RNA is filed under the name Neisseria meningitidis M7124. RNAcentral describes it as "bacterial SSU rRNA". It matches the Rfam family "Bacterial small subunit ribosomal RNA", at positions 444 to 1527 of the family's 1533-position model. Lineage: Bacteria; Pseudomonadati; Pseudomonadota; Betaproteobacteria; Neisseriales; Neisseriaceae. The record is from RNAcentral.